CCUAGGGGCGCAGCAGUGAGGAAUAUUGCACAAUGGGGGGAACCCUGAUGCAGCAACGCCGCGUGGAGGAUGACGCAUUUCGGUGUGUAAACUCCUUUUAUAUGUCAAGAAAAUGACGGUAGCAUAUGAAUAAGCACCGGCUAACUCCGUGCCAGCAGCCGCGGUAAUACGGAGGGUGCAAGCGUUACUCGGAAUCACUGGGCGUAAAGGACGCGUAGGCGGGUUGGAAAGUCAGGUGUGAAAUCCUACAGCUUAACUGUAGAACUGCACUUGAAACUUCCAAUCUAGAGUAUGGGAGGGGGAGAUGGAAUUAGUGGUGUAGGGGUAAAAUCCGUAGAUAUCACUAGGAAUACCUAAAGCGAAGGCGAUCUCCUGGAACAUUACUGACGCUAAGGCGUGAAAGCGUGGGGAGCAAACAGGAUUAGAUACCCCAGUAGUC
This 439-nucleotide ribosomal RNA is filed under the name uncultured bacterium. RNAcentral describes it as "partial 16S ribosomal RNA". It matches the Rfam family "Bacterial small subunit ribosomal RNA", at positions 338 to 795 of the family's 1533-position model. The record is from RNAcentral.